GGACAAGUCUUCGUCUCCCUCGUCGUCGCCACUGCUCCCCAAUUGUUCCUCCUCGUCCUCCUCCUCCUCUUCAUCUGAAGAAGAAUUGACCUCGUAGUCUUGCUCAAUCUCGGAUACGUCCACCAUUUCAACUGAAUCCAGAAUAUUCCCAGUCAGCACGUGUGUAGUUGAGAGAGAGAGGUCUGAAAAAUGGAUAAGUCGACAAAGGACAAGAGUUGUAUGCCGUGUCGCCUUGUUGGAGGUGCAGGGAUGUCGGGGGCAGGAAUUUAUGUGGCGUCACAAGUCUCUCGCCAAAAGAACCUUCCGGGAAAAGUCGUAGUCUCACUUUUUGCUGGGGGACUAAUCUACACAGGAGUGGCCAGACUUCUGGACUUGCCUCCCUUUGGGGAUGGAGGUGACGCUACUCUUACUAAAACAUGAGACAUCUAAUCAUCAAAGUAAUUGUGUUUGUAUGUGGCUACAGAUUUUGCGUGAUUUAUUCGAUUGUGUGAAUUGUGUACAUGAUGGUAAUAAAGAGAAUUUGAACUGAA
This is a long non-coding RNA of Folsomia candida, 530 nucleotides long. RefSeq lists it as uncharacterized. Lineage: Eukaryota; Metazoa; Arthropoda; Collembola; Entomobryomorpha; Isotomidae. The transcript is spliced from 4 exons. The record is from RefSeq and is a predicted model, not a curated record.